CUGAGCUCUGAGUUGUGUGUGACUUCCUCUGUGUAUGUGGGAGGAAGAAGGCUGCUACAUUCGCACCGAGGGGAAAGCAGCAAACAAGGGCCUUGCAGACUCUAUUCCAGAGCCUGGCACCAGGGAAGUUUUGGAACUAAGGUAAUGCUGGCUCAUAAGAGGAAUUUGGAAAGAUUCCUUCUUAACCGAAUUUUUUGAAUUUCUAAUAUCUCUGGAUCUUAACCACUUUUUUCAGAUAAGUAGCCUGUCAACAUUUUAUUCCAUUUUGUUAGAUAUCUCUUCAGUUUAGUCACUGAUUUCUUUGCCGUGUAGUGGCUUCUGAGUCGGAGACAAUUCCUCUGUCUGGUUUUGCUUUCGGUGCCUGUGCUGUUUGAAUCUUAUCCAAGAAACCAUUGCCUGUGUAUGUAAAUGUUUCUUCUAUGUUUUCUUUUAGGAGUUUCACAAUUUCAUGCUUUAUGCUUGGGUCUUUGACCAUCUUGAGCUGUUGAGAGACAAGGAUCUAAUUUCAUUCUUCUUUCUGUUCCUAUCCAAUUUUGCCUUCAUGCUUUGUUAAAAAGACUGUUGUUUUUCCAAUGUUUGUUCUUUGUAUGUUUGUCAAAAUCAGUUGGCUACAUGAACAUGUAUUAAUGUCUGGGUUCUCUGUCUUCUGUUGCAUUGAUUUCUAGAUUCCAGAGUUA
Molecule: long non-coding RNA, 677 nt
Organism: Ochotona curzoniae (black-lipped pika)
Lineage: Eukaryota; Metazoa; Chordata; Mammalia; Lagomorpha; Ochotonidae
Exons: 2
Source: RefSeq, a predicted model, not a curated record